UUUCCGUAGGUGAACCUGCGGAAGGAUCAUUAUUGUGUAACCGAGGUGCGAGGGCUGUCGCUGACCCGAAAGGUCGUGCACGCCCGAGUGCCCUCACACACAUCCAUCUCACCCCUAUGUGCACCACCGCGUGGGUCCCCCUUUGGCUUGUUCGGAGGGGGGCUUACGUUUUCACACAAACUUUGUAUGCAUUGUAGAAUGUAUUUUUUGUUUUUGCGAUCACGCAAUCAAUACAACUUUCAACAACGGAUCUCUUGGCUCUC
RNAcentral lists this unclassified non-coding RNA (263 nucleotides) under plant metagenome. Its description in RNAcentral is "partial contains small subunit ribosomal RNA, internal transcribed spacer 1, and 5.8S ribosomal RNA". The record is from RNAcentral.